This 407-nucleotide ribosomal RNA is filed under the name bacterium. RNAcentral describes it as "bacterial SSU rRNA". It matches the Rfam family "Bacterial small subunit ribosomal RNA", at positions 396 to 794 of the family's 1533-position model. The record is from RNAcentral.
GCCGCGUGAGUGAUGAAGGCUUUCGGGUCGUAAAACUCUGUUGUUAGGGAAGAACAAGUGCUAGUUGAAUAAGCUGGCACCUUGACGGUACCUAACCAGAAAGCCACGGCUAACUACGUGCCAGCAGCCGCGGUAAUACGUAGGUGGCAAGCGUUAUCCGGAAUUAUUGGGCGUAAAGCGCGCGCAGGUGGUUUCUUAAGUCUGAUGUGAAAGCCCACGGCUCAACCGUGGAGGGUCAUUGGAAACUGGGAGACUUGAGUGCAGAAGAGGAAAGUGGAAUUCCAUGUGUAGCGGUGAAAUGCGUAGAGAUAUGGAGGAACACCAGUGGCGAAGGCGACUUUCUGGUCUGUAACUGACACUGAGGCGCGAAAGCGUGGGGAGCAAACAGGAUUAGAUACCCCAGUAGU